CCUACGGGUGGCAGCAGUGAGGAAUAUUGGUCAAUGGACGAGAGUCUGAACCAGCCAAGUAGCGUGAAGGAUGACUGCCCUAUGGGUUGUAAACUUCUUUUAUAUGGGAAUAAAACGUUCCACGUGUGGGAUUUUGUAUGUACCAUAUGAAUAAGGAUCGGCUAACUCCGUGCCAGCAGCCGCGGUAAUACGGAGGAUCCGAGCGUUAUCCGGAUUUAUUGGGUUUAAAGGGAGCGUAGGUGGAUUGUUAAGUCAGUUGUGAAAGUUUGCGGCUCAACCGUAAAAUUGCAUUUGAAACUGGCAGUCUUGAGUACAGUAGAGGUGGGCGGAAUUCGUGGUGUAGCGGUGAAAUGCUUAGAUAUCACGAAGAACUCCGAUUGCGAAGGCAGUUCACUGGACUGCAACUGACACUGAGGCUCGAAAGUGUGGGUAUCAAACAGGAUUAGAUACCCUUGUAGUC
This 460-nucleotide ribosomal RNA is filed under the name uncultured bacterium. RNAcentral describes it as "partial 16S ribosomal RNA". It matches the Rfam family "Bacterial small subunit ribosomal RNA", at positions 338 to 795 of the family's 1533-position model. The record is from RNAcentral.